This 447-nucleotide ribosomal RNA is filed under the name uncultured bacterium. Its description in RNAcentral is "bacterial SSU rRNA". It matches the Rfam family "Bacterial small subunit ribosomal RNA", at positions 331 to 792 of the family's 1533-position model. The record is from RNAcentral.
CCAGACUCCUACGGGAGGCAGCAGUGGGGAAUAUUGGGCAAUGGGCGCAAGCCUGACCCAGCAACGCCGCGUGAAGGAAGAAGGCUUUCGGGUUGUAAACUUCUUUUCUCAGGGACGAAGAAAGUGACGGUACCUGAGGAAUAAGCCACGGCUAACUACGUGCCAGCAGCCGCGGUAAUACGUAGGUGGCAAGCGUUAUCCGGAUUUACUGGGUGUAAAGGGCGUGUAGGCGGGACUGCAAGUCAGAUGUGAAAGUCCGCGGCUCAACCGUGGAAUUGCAGUUGAAACUGGAGGCCUUGAGUGCACACAGGGAUGCCGGAAUUCAUGGUGUAGCGGUGAAAUGCGUAGAUAUUAGGAGGAACACCAGUGGCGAAGGCGGCUUACUGGACUGUAACUGACGUUGAGGCUCGAAAGCGUGGGGAGCAAACAGGAUUAGAUACCCCAGUA